UACGUAGGGUGCAAGCGUUAUCCGGAAUUAUUGGGCGUAAAGAGCUCGUAGGCGGUUUGUCGCGUCUGCUGUGAAAACCCGAGGCUCAACCUCGGGCCUGCAGUGGGUACGGGCAGACUAGAGUGCGGUAGGGGAGAUUGGAAUUCCUGGUGUAGCGGUGGAAUGCGCAGAUAUCAGGAGGAACACCGAUGGCGAAGGCAGAUCUCUGGGCCGUAACUGACGCUGAGGAGCGAAAGCAUGGGGAGCGAACAGG
This 253-nucleotide ribosomal RNA is filed under the name uncultured bacterium. RNAcentral's name for it is "partial 16S ribosomal RNA". It matches the Rfam family "Bacterial small subunit ribosomal RNA", at positions 524 to 776 of the family's 1533-position model. The record is from RNAcentral.